CCAAAAGACCACAUAACCGUCAGCAAUGUGGCAAAUUGAUAGUGACAGCGAAACUAAAAGGUGAGAAACUUAGAGAGAUAGAAAGAGAAACAUGAACAACAAAUUAAAGCUAAAGGUAAACGGACAACGAAGCUAAAUCUUUGAAGCAAAUUAAAACCUUCCCGGCUUCUCUUUCUCCUUGUGUUUCAUUGGUUUUAUUAUAAUCCCAUUUUCUCACGACGAAAAACUCAUCCGAAUUGUUAAGCUUGUUCAAUGGAGAUAAUGGGUUUUUCGUUGCUCUUCAAGUUCCUUCUCUUGCUCUCUGGCUUUGGGGUUUCAAUGGCGUUACAAGAAACCCCAUUGGUGGCUAAAAACUUGGGUCAAAUCAGUUCUAACUCGGUGCUUGUGGCCUUGUUAGACUCGCAUUAUACGGAGCUUGCUGAAUUAGUGGAGAAAGCUUUGUUGUUACAAAGCUUAGAAGAGUCUGUGGGAAAGCAUAAUAUUACCAUUUUUGCUCCUAAGAAUGAAGCUCUUGAAAGGAAUCUAGACCCUGAAUUCAAGCGGUUUUUGUUGGAACCUGGUAAUCUUAAAUCCUUACAAACUCUAUUGCUUUAUCACAUUGUGCCGACUAGGAUUGAGCCACAUUCAUGGCCUAAUUCAACAACGGGAUCGAUCAUUCACCGUACGUUAUCAAAUCACAAUGUUGAGCUCUCGAGUGAAGAUUCAAUGGGGGUUAAAUUCAUUGGUAGCGCUAAGGUUAUUAACCCAAAUGCUGUGAACCGUCCAGAUGGGGUUAUCCAUGGCAUCGAACAGUUACUAAUCCCUCAAUCAGUACAACAAGAUUUCAACAGUCGGAGAAAUCUCCGUUCAAUCUCCGCCGUGAAACCAGAAGGUGCGCCCGAAGUUGAUCCAAGAACCCACCGCUUGAAGAAACCGGCCCCGCCAGUGAAACCCGGUUCACCACCCGUUCUUCCGAUUUACGACGCAAUGGCUCCAGGUCCAUCACUAGCCCCGGCACCAGCUCCAGGACCCGGUGGACCUCACCAUCAUUUCAACGGAAUGAGGCAAGUCAAAGAUUUCAUUCAAACACUAAUUCAAUAUGGUGGGUACAAUGAAAUGGCUGAUAUAUUAGUGAAUUUAACAUCAUUAGCCACUGAAAUGGGUCGGUUAGUUUCCGAGGGUUACGUUUUAACUGUAUUAGCACCCAACGAUGAAGCCAUGGCUAAGUUAACCACCGAUCAAUUAAGCGAACCCGGUGCACCGGAACAAAUCAUUUAUUAUCACAUAAUCCCGGAGUACCAAACCGAAGAAAGUAUGUACAAUACAGUGAGAAGAUUCGGGAAAGUAUCGUACGAUACAUUGAGGUUACCACACAAAGUAUCAGCUCAAGAAGCUGAUGGGUCUGUUAAAUUCGGGCACGCCGAUGGAUCCGCUUAUUUGUUCGACCCGGACAUUUAUACCGACGGAAGGAUCUCGGUGCAAGGAAUCGACGGUGUACUUUUCCCGCCUGAAGAGAAAACUAAAGAAGAAAAGAAGACUAUCAAAGUUGCUACAGCGAAACCCAGAAGAGGCAAGUUGCUUGAAGUUGCAUGCAGAAUGCUUGUGGCAAUUGGUCAAGAUUCUCAUUUUAGCACAUGCCAAAUAUAAAAAUCACAACCAUCAUUUCCCCAUAUCAUAAACAAAAAACUUAAAAAGAAUUGGAAGGUGAAGCAGCAUAGUUUAAAACUCUUUGAAUAUGGUGUGAUGCAUUGCUCUCUACAAUAGGAUUUAGGUUUUUCUUUUUUAAAGUUGGGAUCAAGCAGCUAAACAUGGGAAGAUAUGGAAAAUGGUUACCAAAAAAUAUAUAAUAUUUUCCAUUCCCACAUGCUGAAAUUCAAUGAUUCACCCUGGUUAGUUGCUGAUACCCUCUAAAUGUACAAGUUUUUUUUUUUUCAAUUGUGUGUAAUGUGGCGGCACGGUGGUGGUGGCGGUGGUGGGGAGGAGAUAUGAAGGGGUGAGAGGGGUUUGGUUUUGUGUGAAGUAGAUAUGGAAGAUAAAGAGUCCACCAUGUGGGCAAAUCCAGCUUAAUAAUAAAAGAAAGCAAAAAGAAAAAAGCAUCACAUCAAUAUUAUAUUUGGAAAUAAUAUAUUCUUUUUUAAGAAAAAUAAAA
This is an RNA transcript of Gossypium arboreum, 2128 nucleotides long. It is a transcript of the gene named fasciclin-like arabinogalactan protein 15, with no coding region annotated. The record is from RefSeq and is a predicted model, not a curated record. NCBI's taxonomy places the organism in Eukaryota, Viridiplantae, Streptophyta, Magnoliopsida, Malvales, Malvaceae. The transcript is spliced from 3 exons.